UUCUCCAUGUUUACAUACGUUUCCAGGGGCUUUUAUUUGAAGCAUUUCUUGUCUGUGUCACUUCCGCUUUCUUCCUGUAGGUGUCACUUCCGCUUCCUUUUUGACUUGCGUUAACGCGUGGUAACUUGUUCUCUCUGCUACGUUCAAUCGGUGCUCCAGUCCUCGACCUUAUACUAACCUAACCGAAAGUACCACUGUGUAUACUCCAAUAUGCACCAUCAAAGUUGACGAGUCCAACUGAUGACCGUGUGUUCUCUGACCGGAACACCAACGUGGGGUCGAGGAUCGCGGGAGGCAGUUCAAAGUCCAGAGGGAAGUCGAGGCACACAGCUUGAUCACGGGACACACGAGAAGUACUGCGGGAAAACACAAGGGACAUAAGACACAAGAACUGGGAAGACACAGAGAAAGAUCAAGUACGCGGGAGGGAAACCAGAGACGGGAUGCUUACUACGGGGAGUUAACUACGUUCCGGCGCAGGAUCUUCGGGUCUGCUGGUCUUUAUACUGCUCACCUUCAUCAGUCCCAGGUGCGCUGACUGGUGAUCGCCUGCAGCCUUUCCGGCGUGUGGCCGUGAUGCAGAUGACAUGCGGGAUUGAGCACGCGCCGUGACAAAAUAGACUUCAAAAACACACAUAGUUGUACAUCUAAUAUUAACAACAAUAUUUAUAUUAUAUUAAUUCAUAUAUUUAUAUAUUACAUGACUAAACAUUUGGUUUGCGUUUUAAUUGAUUUAUGAAUAUUUCACUAAUAAUUUAAUAUUAAAAUAUUGUUUAAUCAACACACCU
Long non-coding RNA from Nerophis lumbriciformis (worm pipefish), 788 nucleotides. RefSeq lists it as uncharacterized. The record is from RefSeq and is a predicted model, not a curated record. Lineage: Eukaryota; Metazoa; Chordata; Actinopteri; Syngnathiformes; Syngnathidae.